GGCGGCGUAGCUCAGCUGGCUAGAGCGUACGGUUCAUACCCGUAAGGUCGGGGGUUCGAUCCCCUCCGCCGCUA
This is a transfer RNA of Paenibacillus naphthalenovorans, 74 nucleotides long. It matches the Rfam family "tRNA". Rfam says of the family: Transfer RNA (tRNA) molecules are approximately 80 nucleotides in length. Their secondary structure includes four short double-helical elements and three loops (D, anti-codon, and T loops). The record is from Rfam. NCBI's taxonomy places the organism in Bacteria, Bacillati, Bacillota, Bacilli, Caryophanales, Paenibacillaceae.